UUCCUUUUCGAAAAAAGAAAAAAGAAAGACAAAAUCUUUGCAACUUCAGCAUUAUUGGGAAAUCCAUUCAUACAUGGGGCCUUUGCUGAUCCAUGCAGUUAGUUUGGCUCAUCUCCCAAGCACAUCCAAUGGUAUCUUUGCUAGAUAGGAGCUUUGGAUAGAGACGAUUUUCAUAGAGUGCGACUCUGCAACGAUUAUUGAAUGGAUUCGGGAUGACACGAAGUAGCUGGAGACUCCUCCACUUCUUUGUAACAUUUAGACUGCUCUUUAUCUCUCUGUCGCGGUAUAUAUCUGGCAUGUCUUUCAAAAGAUAAACAGUGCGGUAGAUUGGAUUGCAUCUUAUAUUAUGGAACAUUUCAGAGAUUAGAUCUAAAGAUUGGAGAAGAUGUACCGGCCAACCC
RNAcentral lists this long non-coding RNA (401 nucleotides) under Elaeis guineensis (African oil palm). RNAcentral's name for it is "long non-coding RNA (EGUI_LNC023068)". The record is from RNAcentral. Lineage: Eukaryota; Viridiplantae; Streptophyta; Magnoliopsida; Arecales; Arecaceae.